RNAcentral lists this ribosomal RNA (380 nucleotides) under uncultured Halobacteria archaeon. RNAcentral describes it as "bacterial SSU rRNA". It matches the Rfam family "Archaeal small subunit ribosomal RNA", at positions 471 to 851 of the family's 1478-position model. Lineage: Archaea; Methanobacteriati; Methanobacteriota; Halobacteria. The record is from RNAcentral.
UAACACCGGCGCCCCAAGUGGCAAUCAUAUUUAUUGGGCCUAAAGCAUCCGUAGCCGGAUUUGUAAAUUUUCUGUGAAAUCUCUUGGCUUAACCAAGAGGCAUGCAGAAAAGACUGCAUUUCUAGAGACCGGGAGGAGUUAGAGGUAUUCUGUGGGGAGCGGUAAAAUGUUAUAAUCCUCGGAAGACCACCAAUGGCGAAGGCAUCUAACUAGAACGGUUCUGACGGUGAGGGAUGAAGGCUAGGGGAGCAAAACGGAUUAGAUACCCGAGUGGUCCUAGCUGUAAACGCUGUAUGCAAGGUGUUGCGGAUUCUAGUGAAUCUGCAGUAUCGAAGAGAAGUCGUUAAGCAUACCGCCUGGGAAGUACGGUCGCAAGACUG